Molecule: ribosomal RNA, 791 nt
Filed under: uncultured bacterium
Lineage: Bacteria
Description: bacterial SSU rRNA
Rfam family: Bacterial small subunit ribosomal RNA
Source: RNAcentral
AGAGUUUGAUCCUGGCUCAGAUUGAACGCUGGCGGAAUGCUUUACACAUGCAAGUCGAGCGGCAGCGCGGGGCAACCUGGCGGCGAGCGGCGAACGGGUGAGUAACACAUCGGAACGUACCCUAUUGUGGGGGAUAACGAAUCGAAAGAUUCGCUAAUACCGCAUAAGACCUGAGGGUGAAAGCGGGGGAUCGCAAGACCUCGCGCGAUAGGAGCGGCCGAUGUCGGAUUAGCUAGUUGGUGGGGUAAAGGCUCACCAAGGCGACGAUCCGUAGCGGGUCUGAGAGGACGGCCCGCCACACUGGAACUGAGACACGGUCCAGACUCCUACGGGAGGCAGCAGUGGGGAAUUUUGGACAAUGGGCGCAAGCCUGAUCCAGCCAUUCCGCGUGAGUGAAGAAGGCCUUCGGGUUGUAAAGCUCUUUCGGCAGGAACGAAAAGGCGGGCUCUAACAUAGCCUGUUGAUGACGGUACCUGAAGAAGAAGCACCGGCUAACUACGUGCCAGCAGCCGCGGUAAUACGUAGGGUGCGAGCGUUAAUCGGAAUUACUGGGCGUAAAGCGUGCGCAGGCGGUUUUGUAAGACAGAUGUGAAAUCCCCGGGCUCAACCUGGGAACUGCGUUUGUGACUGCAAGACUCGAGUGCGGCAGAGGGGGGUGGAAUUCCACGUGUAGCAGUGAAAUGCGUAGAGAUGUGGAGGAACACCGAUGGCGAAGGCAGCCCCCUGGGUCGACACUGACGCUCAUGCACGAAAGCGUGGGUAGCAAACAGGAUUAGAUACCCUGGUAGUCC